This 2235-nucleotide long non-coding RNA is filed under the name Mytilus galloprovincialis (Mediterranean mussel). The record is from RNAcentral. Lineage: Eukaryota; Metazoa; Mollusca; Bivalvia; Mytilida; Mytilidae.
UAGAAAAUUGGAGGUCGAAAGAACAUAUAGCUUUUUCUGCAAGCAUACCAGCUACAUCAAAUAGCCUCUCAGAUCAUCAGACAGUUGUUUAUUCUAAGGUAUUUAUACACAUUUUUCUUUUCCAAUGUAAGAAGAAAGAGCCGACACAAAUAUCAAUGUAUAAUAAUUAGGUCAUAUAUAUUUUCUUGGUGUCCUCCCACAUCCAUUUUAUGCACAUUAUUAGAAAAAACUAAUAAAUAGUGUGUGCUCACUGUUAAGUUGUUAUCGACGAUUAUUUGUAUAAAAUUAACAAUAGCGCAAAACACGAGCGCAUACCUUAUUAAUUUCUUACGCAUUUACAUGUGCAUUUAAAAAAAAAACUUUAUGUGUUUCAUAACCUAAAUCGAUAAACAAACUCUAUCACGUUGACUGUAAUUUAAGGUGGUACCCAACACUUUCACUAAGAUUUAUUUGGCUCGUUUAAUUUUCAUAAAAUUAUGACAAAGUAAUUACUUUGACCUUUAAACAAAAAUAUAAAAAUUUCAAAAAUUUUGAGCCAACCGUUUUGUCAGAAAAAUUACACUGGUUAUAUAGUAGUUUGACAAGCACAAAUUUUGAUUAUUGAGAAGCUUAAAAUUCCCUUUACAACACAACGUAAUUAAAACGUUAAGCUGAUUUUACAGAGUUUUCUCCCUGUAGUGUUAGGUACCACCUUAACAGAUAAUUCAUAAUCAAUGACAGGAAAUUACUGACACAAGUUCAAGUUAUAACCCAUCAGAUGGUAUUUUCACUGUUCCUGUCUCUGGUGUGUAUGUAUUUACUUGGUCUGCUUCUUCUGGUGAAGGACGCUGGCAAGAUACAGAACUUGUUGUUGAUAGUUCACCAUACAGAUCUUUGUCAGCAGAUUCUAAUGAAGAGGAAUAUUUUGGGAGUGCAGCACAAACCGUCGUUUGGGAGGUUUGUUAAUGAACUGUUAUCACAUUUUGUCAUUUAAACAAAAGAUAUAGGAUUAUGUGUUAUGGAUGCCAAUGAGACGACUUUCCAUCUAAGUAUCAAUUAAUAAAAGUAAACCAUUGUAGGACAAGCAACGACAUUCAACAAAAAGCUGUGGUUUACACGGAACAGCAAGCUAUAGAGAGCCAAACAAAUUACUGAUAAAAAUUCAAAUCUAUAUAAAAACAAAAAACGAUAAACACUAAUGAACCACGUUAUAAACAGGCAACAACAUUUAUACAAAAUAAGAUGUGGUAUGAUUGCCAUUGAGACAACUAUACAUAAAAGGCCAUAAUGACAAAAACAUUAACAACUAUAUGUCGCCGUACGGCCUUCAACAAUGAGCAAAGCCCAUUCCGCAUAGUCAGUUAUAAAAGGCCCCGAUAAGACAAUGUGAAACAAUUCAAACGAGAAAACUAACGGCCUUAUUUAUGUUACAAAAUGAACGAAAAACAAACAUGUUAAAAGUGUCCUGUCCAAGCAGGAAAUGUCAUUGAUAUAUUGUUCGUUUCUCUUUGUGUUGCAUUUUAACUGAGUCGUUUGUGUUUUCUCUUAUUUUGAGAAUUGAGAUAAGUGGCACGGUACUUGUCUAUCCCAAAUUCAUGUAUUUGGUUUUCAUGUUACAUUGUUAUUCUGUGGUGUUUUGUCUGAUUGGUCUUUUCUGUGUGUUGCGUUUCGAUGUGUUGUUCUCCUCUUAUAUUAAUGCGUUUCGCUCGGUUUUGGUUUGUUACCCCGAUUUUGUUUUUUGUCCAUGGAUUUAUGAGUUUUGAACAGCGGUAUACUACUGUUGCCUUUAUGUAACAGAAAAACAAACGACAACCAUUGAAUUACAGGCAUUUGUAGAGUGUACUGUUAUAGAUUGCCUUUGAUGAUAUGAAAAACUAAUAUAAUUAUUGGUAGUUGCUUCUCCUCUUGGUUACAACGUCGGUUACUUCUUUAAUGUUAAUAUAUGUAUACUUGUCUUCAUACAUAAUAAAACAGCUCUCUUCAUUUAUUUUGGGGGAUACAUUUCAUAUAAUUUUUUUGUCUAGAAUAAAAGAAAUAGAACACCUACUCCAUGCUCUUGUAUGCAAUAGAUUUAAUAACAGAGAUAAAACUUGAGUGUGUUAAAGUUAGUUUAUCUGAUAAUAUGUUGCAGGUAAAGAAAUCUCAGCGUGUUUGGGUACGGAUAAAAGGGAGAUAUACAAGAGAACUUGUCGGCGAUAACAUCAAUACUUUUUCAGGUUGGAUACUACAUACAACAGUGUAAACCUGUUUUGGGUA